Nothoprocta perdicaria is the source of this 538-nucleotide long non-coding RNA. RefSeq lists it as uncharacterized. The record is from RefSeq and is a predicted model, not a curated record. NCBI's taxonomy places the organism in Eukaryota, Metazoa, Chordata, Aves, Tinamiformes, Tinamidae. The transcript is spliced from 2 exons.
UGAGAGCCAUACAUUCAGUACAGGUAACUGGAGCAAGCCCUGAUGCUCCCAGGCAAAUGAGAAGCGCAAUGUGGUAAAUCGGACAUCCUGAAAUGCAUACUUUUUUGAGGCCAGGAAGCUAGCUUUUUUAGGAGUAUCUAUCAAUGCAUUGGCCGAAGUCACAUGCUCCAAGUGAGACCUACAAACCUGGAAAAGAUUAAAUAAUCCCUGAAUGAAAUUCAAGAAUUGGUCAUUCGGUCUACAGGACCUUUUAUGAACAGCACUGUAACACCAAACUGUCAUAGAAGCACUGCUAUCCAGGCCAUUGGUUUUCCCGACUGGUUUUCCCAUUCCAAGAGGAUGACUUGGAUUUCAGGGAGAAAGUGCUGGUUGGUCUCCGCUUAGCUUGAAGAAUAGGCAUAAACGCAAGCUUUUAUUUACACUUGUCUUGCUUCUGCAAGACACCGGAGGUAUCCAGGAGGAGGAAUCACUGGAGGCUGGAGACCAUCUUGCCAUGAAGCAGCCAAAGCUUAGGAGACCACACGAGAGAGAUUCCUCU